Molecule: long non-coding RNA, 952 nt
Organism: Halichondria panicea
Lineage: Eukaryota; Metazoa; Porifera; Demospongiae; Suberitida; Halichondriidae
Exons: 2
Source: RefSeq, a predicted model, not a curated record
CUAGCCUCGAUCCCAGGCCGAGUUUUCGCUUUUAUAACGGUUAGGCGAACAACUGGGCCUGGUACUAGUUGUCUGCGCAUGCGUCAGUCGUUCGUCAGAUUCUGACGAAUGGAUAUUCUCGUUCACUUUCGUGACAUUUAUAUUCGUGUACUAUCGUGUACUAGAAGUCAGUUCCCGUUUUAUCAUUAUUGGAAUCGAUUGGAAUGGCUCUUAGCUGAAGCUUCUCUCUUCUCUGAAGCUUAUUCUGAAGACUAAACAACAAGGGAAGAGGUAUAAAGCUUUGUCAAGCUUGUUAAGGUCAGAUAUUUUUGUGUGGGCCCUAUGGCUAUGCUAUCAAGUUUUGUUCAUGUUUGGCAAGAUCUACCGGUAUGUAGGUAGAGUAUAGUUUCAUCAUUGAUAUGGUGGAUCAAGUGAAGAGUGUGAGCUAGAGAACUUGGUGCUGCCAUCAUCAGCUCGUCGACAAUGACACUAACCUGUUUAAUACGAGAAAUUUAAUAUGUAUAGAUCUACACGUAUUUAAAAUGUCUACUUCUCUGUACAGGAGCAAUGGCUAAUAUCCAGCUAUCCCAACAGUGCUCCUCUUGGCUAUACUAACGGACGAGACUGGACAGUUUGAGGACUGGAGUAUGACCUGCUCAUUCGAGUGUUGCUGGGUAGCUCAGAGACAUCAAGAGAAUCUACGUUUUCUCAAGUAAAAUUUAACUGAGUUAUGAGUUGGGGCCUAGAAUCAGAGAAGUCCAGCAGCCUGCUAAAUCUUUUUGAAACGUAAUUUGAAGGCAUUCAAUCAUCCCGAGUUGCCCUGGGUCACUGUAAUUGUGCUGCAGCACAACUGGCAACUCCCCAGGCCUUUGUGAAGCAGCUCUCUAUGUGCAUCUUUUGUGUACUCACUCUGUGCAUUUUCUGUGUACAAAUUUCUAUUAUUGAUUUAUUAAAUAUUUUUGCCGACCACAAA